Long non-coding RNA from Carassius carassius (crucian carp), 435 nucleotides. RefSeq lists it as uncharacterized. The transcript is spliced from 3 exons. The record is from RefSeq and is a predicted model, not a curated record. Lineage: Eukaryota; Metazoa; Chordata; Actinopteri; Cypriniformes; Cyprinidae.
ACUGCCGUGUAUCGCAUCGGCUGUUCAACGGUCUUGAUGCGAAUCAGGUUACUGUGUGUCCCCCGUAAACCCCGGGAUGAAUGACGGAACAGAGGAAGAGAUAGUCCCCGUUGUGAUGGAGUCCUCGUCGUACUCCCAGGUAGUUUUCAACGAUGUUCCUCCAUCAUAUCCGCCAAACAUCGCAGUUAUGUGCCGUUACAAUCUCACCGGUGCUCUGGAGCCCAGCCCGAGGGACUGGAUCGGUAUCUGUAAAGUUGGUUUGAGUUCAACACAGAAGUAUUAUACCUACGUGUGGGUGGAACCUUGCCUGGAACAUGUCGGACCUGAACCACUAGUGCAACAGGUGGUUUUCAAAGGUAGAAUUCAAUCUGUUUUCCAAUCAUUGCACAUUUUAGAUUUCUCAUGUAUCUAUAACAUCUUUCCAGUAUUUUGCUU